Molecule: long non-coding RNA, 353 nt
Organism: Drosophila melanogaster (fruit fly)
Lineage: Eukaryota; Metazoa; Arthropoda; Insecta; Diptera; Drosophilidae
Product: long non-coding RNA:CR46533
Exons: 1
Source: RefSeq
GUAGGAGGAUGGCAAUGUGCAACUUGCAACUUGCAACUUGCGUCUUGCAACCUGCAAACUGAAAACUCCAGACAACGGACUUUGGACGGAUUAAGGAAUCAGAAUCUGAAAUAUGAAUCAAAAUCAGAAGCAGGCAGCGUAAUAGCAACAAUCAUCAUGAUUACCAUUAGCGGCAUCAUCAUUCCGAUACUGCUAAUCAUCAUUAUCAAUCAUAAGACAGAGAACACUGGGCAACAAAGUUAAGUUAACUCUGCAUAGAAGUAGCAGCAUUGAAUGCCACCAUGAAUCUAUGAUUUAUGAGUAUAAAAUAUUCAAAAUAAACAUGUCAUACAAUUUAAUGGCAAUCAUUAAGU